This is a long non-coding RNA of Agrilus planipennis (emerald ash borer), 244 nucleotides long. RefSeq lists it as uncharacterized. Lineage: Eukaryota; Metazoa; Arthropoda; Insecta; Coleoptera; Buprestidae. The transcript is spliced from 3 exons. The record is from RefSeq and is a predicted model, not a curated record.
GUUUCAGAUUCCAUAUAAACAUUACUGAAUCAUGGCAAAAGAACACCGCGAACCUUCACAAUGUCCCAUGUAAACAUUACUGGAUCUUGCACUAAGGGAACAGCUAAAUUUUAGAUGAUUUGAUGGUGACCAGUUUUUGACAUUGACGACAUCCUUCUACCACCAUGGACCUUCUCCACCCAGUCAGCAUCUUUCAGAGAAUGGGGGAAAUUAACCACCUUUACGCAUUUAUGGUGCAUGUAAA